ACUGAGACGAGUAGUUUGAGAAAUAGCAAUGGCCAUCCUGAAUUUCACACCUUCCUCAAUGUUCCCGGUGACCAUAGAUUCAGCUCGAGGAACAAGAGUUAGAGGUUCUGUCAUCAAAAUGCAGAAGAGUCUCAAUACUACGGAUCCUCCUGCCUCACCUGGUUUCAGCUUAUGUACGUGCGGAAGAAAGCAUUUCCUAGGAGAAGCUACGACGCCGUUUCUUCCAAUCUCUCCUUCCUACGCUGCUCCAUCCACAGCUCCAAACUCAACGGUUGCUUGUAGUGAACUUUGCUGCUAAAUUAUAGAAGAGGAAUACAAUACCUAUUUUAUCUAAUUAUCUAUAUCUUCAUUUAUAUCAGGAAGUAUUGAACCAAUUGCGUCCUCCUAAGCCUGACUGGUAUUUUGAGCUCUAUGGUUAUUUUAGGAGCGCAGGGAUGGAAAGAUAUGAGAAAGAGGUUAGUGACUUCAUGAGAUUUGCAUGCAUUCUUUCUUUGUUUCUAACGUUUCAUUCUUCUUCUUUUGUCAGAUUGCUGUUUACAAGAGGAAACUCUUUGCAAAUUUGGUGGGAAAAGCAGAAACUGUUUUGGAAAUUGGUAUUGGAGCUGGUCCGAACAUCAAGUACUACAACAAUAUUCCAAACGUCUCUGUUCUUGGUGUGGAUCCAAACCCUAAGAUGGAAAGUCACGCACGCAAAUCCGCUAUAGAAGCAGGAGUGAAAUCCGAAAACUUCAAGUUCAUUCACGCGGUAAUGGCCUUCUUUAUAUUUUGUCGUGAACAAACGCGAAUCAAACAAGCAGAAAUCACGAAAACUUAGAGAAAAUGAAAUUCAGUCGAAGCAAAUACUGUUUUAUUUUAGGGUUUGUAUAUUGAUUGUGUGGAUUAAUUAUUCCGUGGUUUUAUUUGUGUGGACCAGGUCGCAGAAUCUAUGCCAUUAGAAGAUGCAUCAGUUGAUGCAGUUGUUGGAAGUCUUGUGAUGUGUUCUGUCACGGAUAUCCCUCAAACACUCAAAGGUAAUUGUUUAAGUCCCUUCACAAUCACAUCUUACUUCAGAUGUCAGAUCAAAAGAAAACAAAGCUCAUCAAAUAGUUUAGUACAUGUACAGAGAUAAAGCGGAUCCUAAAACCAGGAGGGCUUUACCUCUUCGUGGAACAUGUUGCAGCAGAAGGUAUCGCUUUCGACUCAUGAGGAAUCCAUCAUAAUCCAUUAACGCAUAAAUGACAUAAUCCAAAACGUUUUGUUUUGUUUUGUUUGUUUUGUGAUGAGCAGAUGGAACAUUUCUAAGGAUGGUGCAGAAUGUUUUGGAUCCAUUACAACAAGUUGUAGCCGACGGAUGUCAUCUAACGAGGAACACAGAAGACUACCUUUUAGAAGCUGGGUUCAAAGGUGGUGUAGAUAUCAACAAGGUCUCUCUUUCUGCCUUUUACCACUUAAGCCCUCAUCUUUAUGGAGUUGCUUAUAAUUAAAAAAAAAAUAGCUGGGAAAUAUCUGAACUCAGCAGCUCAUCUUUGGACUGAACACAAGGCUUUCUUUCACGUUUGAAAAUAUCAAGUUUUCAACUCUGUUUCUCUAUAUCUGCUUUUGAUCCUAAACUAUCGACUCAAUCCAUUGAGUCUAAGCGAUUAUGAUGUUGUGUUUGUAACUGAAUAAUGCUUAUAAGCAGAAAAUAAUGUAAAAUUAUCAGAAAGUUUGGAACUCUUUCUUCUACUAAUAAAAAAAGGUAAUUGAUCAACUUUGAGACGUCGGACGGAACUAUAUCUUAAUUAUCUUCACUCUUAUCCUUUUUCUUAUUAUGAGUAAUUGAGAUUUUAAACUUAGCAAUGGCAACCCUCUAUUCUGUCACCUUUUCUUUCUUCUUCUUUUUUGAGUGAAUGUAAAAUUUAUUCAUCACAAAACUCUUUUUAACAAUAAAUGCUUCAAAAGUUUGGAAGACUUGUCACCUUCUUCACUGGUCAAUACAUAUGAAAUCUUCGAAAAGAGACGUUGCAUAAAGAGAUUACACAUGUGGGCGGAACUAUAUCUUCAUCUUGUAUACUCUUAUUGUUUGUUUUGAUGAUGAGCAAUCGAGGUUUUAAAUUUCGCAAUGGCAACCCUCCACUUGUCACCUUCUUCACUGGUCAAUACAUAUGAAAUCUUCGAAAAGAGACGUUGCAUAAAGAGAUUACACAUGUGGGCGGAACUAUAUCUUCAUCUUGUAUACUCUUAUUGUUUGUUUUGAUGAUGAGCAAUCGAGGUUUUAAAUUUCGCAAUGGCAACCCUCCACUUGUCACCUUUUUCACUGGUCAAUACAUCGUUGUAAAUGAUAUGUAGGUUCUUACGUAUUUAAAUUCUCUUUCUGUGCUAGAGAUUUAUGUGUUUUUUGUUUCAAGACAACAAAAAAAAAAUGUCCAGAAAGGUUGAUAAGAUGUGUUUUUAGUGGUUUCUGACCUCUAUAGAUAUAUAAUUUUAUUUGAAUUGAACUAUGUGGUUUUUAUUGGAUGAAAAUGUGUAUUUUUAAAGUAUUUUAAUCUAUUAUCGAGUUUUUCGGGCACUAAGUUUUUUUAGAAAAAAUGAUCAAAUAUUUCCUCUCUAGUAAUUCCUUCCAAUUACUAUAUCUAACAGCCAAGAUAAUUACUCACACUAAACCUAAGAGACUAGAUAUGCAUUAAAUCCAGCAGUCCAUCUCUGAACUGAAUUCUAGAAUUCUAGGAAUGUUUCGGGCAUCUGAACUCGUUAAAGUUUUUGCAGCCAGUUACUCUGAGUUGCCAACUCUGUUCCAAUUAUAUAUUUUUACUUGUCAUUUGUGAAGCAAAAUCAGUGCAAUCAGAGAGUUUAGAGAGAAAGCUUAAAUUUGACAAAUGAUGCUUUCCAUCUUCAAAUUCGAACAUUUAGCUGUUAAUUCUACUGGUGUUUCAGAAAAAAAAAAGAGAGGAAAAGCUGUUAAUUCUGCUGGUAAAUAUUUCUAUUUUAGGGAUUGGAAUACUAAGUUCGGGUGUCACCGACUGCAAAAAGGAUAUUAAAAAUAAAACAGUUUUAUUCUGAUCCGAUAAAAUCAUGGAUUUCAAUCCAAAACUUCUAAAAUUCAAAAAGAAAAGGUUCUAGGACAGUUAUUAUUUAGCUUCAGUUGUGAAAAUCGAACUCAAGAAAAUAGUAUAUAACGAGGCUUUAUCCUAUAACAACCUACUAGGUAACGCGUCGGCUAUAUGUAAGUUCUCAUAAGAUUACCAUCGUUAUUAUUGUUUGACUACUGUAUAUGGCAUGUAAAUCCUUGGCCUCUCUUGUUAGUAGGAAUAUCUAUAAUUAGAAACUACACAAAAGAAAAUCCAAAAGAAAUGUCAUUUUCAAAAGUAAAGAGAUUAAGGGGUACACGUUAAGUUAAAAAAAAAAGCAUGGCUUUUCACUGCUUUCAGAAGAUAUGAUGUGGACUUCUAAUAGCAUCUUUAAUUCAUAUUUAUACUAGGUGUUUAAUUAUCGUACUAAUAUUUAUUAAUAAAUAUAUUAUUAAUUUAAUGACCUACAAAAUAAUUUAUUGUCAUACACUUACAAAAUCAGUAACAAAUUUUACAUAAAACUAUUUAUAAAUGAUGCAGUCUUUCACUAAAACACACAUAUCUUUUAUAUAUAUAUUAUAAAAUUAGAAACAAUCAUGUUAUGUAAAUAUUGUAGAAAUCUAUUUAUAUACAAUUUUGGUUGUGUUUUUUAUAAUUUUAAAUUUUAUUUUCAUUAAUUAUCAAUAUUUUUAAUUAUGUUUAUCUAAACAUAUCUAAUAUAUAAAAUUAUAAUUAUUAGACUAUUUAAUGAUUUAUUAAUUUAGAAUUCAAUUUUUACACGAUAAAUACAUGUUCAGAAAUUUAUCUACUGAAAAAAUAUUAUUUUUUGGAUAUUUAUACAAUAGACAUGAUUUUUUAUUGUCAAGAAACGUUAUUUUAUUUUUGAAUAUGUUAUUAUAUAUAAUUCAUGUUUAAUGGUUAAUUUAUAAAAUUAUAUUCAAAUAAAUCUAACUAUUCAUUAAAGAUAACAACAUAUUUAACCAGUCUAAUUUUUAACGUAAGAGCUUGAAUGCGAAAAAUCACUUCAAAAAUAAUAGUAUAGAUGAUUAAUUUAUAAAAUUAUAUUGAAAUAAAUCUAACUAUUCAUUAAGGAUAACAACAUAUUUAGCCAGUCUCACUUUUAACGUGAGAGCUUGAAUGCAAAAAUCACUCCACAAAUAAUAAUAUAGAUUUGUUUUAAUUACAAUAAGAUUACUAUUUUUAUAUUUAUAGAAAUAAAUAUUAUUUUAUUUUUACUCUAAAUAUAAAAAAAAUUUAUUUAAAAAUUUUAUCAGAUUAAAUUUUACUUUUAUUAUAAAAUUCUUUUAUAUUUUAAAUAACAAAUACAUUGAAAAUAAUCUAAGUCUAAAACAACCAAAGGAUAGAAACAAAAGAUUACAAAUGCGAAUUUAAUAAUAUUAACAAUACAUACUAAUAAUAUAAAAUAAUAUCAAGACUAAAGAAUGGAAAUACGUUAUAAUCGAAUUUUAGACAAAAUUAAAGGGUAAACAAAGGAAAAUAUAUAUAAAAAAAAAAACUAUUUUCACACAUUGAAACGGGUAAACACACUAAUUUUAAGUAAAACACAUAUAACUUUUUCUCUAACUGAUGGAUCGAUUUCGAACCGGUGAUAUUAGAAAGCUAACUCAGUUUUUAUCUUUGUAUCAAAAUUUGAGUUUCAUUCAUAGGUGUGAAAUCUUGCAAUCAAUUGCUAAACUUAUGAUGUAUAUGUAAAGUUAUGCAUCUCCAGUUGUCUUUUUACAUUUAAUUUGACUUCUAUUGUUCCAAGUAGAUCUAAAACCCUGUAAAAACUUGAUAAUAUACUAAAAGACUCUUAAACACAUACUUUGAUUCAAAACAUAGAUUAGAAACCGGUAAAAACACAUAUAUAUCACUUAAGUCGUUCUAUAAUUGGUUAUUGCAUACAUCUAGGUACCCCCGUUAUCACUUGGAAAUUCAAAAAGCAACAAACCGUAAGUCACAGUGGAAAACAUAAGCAUGGCUUUGGCUACUUGUCAACUUCUUUGGUUGGCUCAGCUGCUGAAAGUAUUCAAGGGUUCAUGAUCAUGGCUCCAGCAGAGUUGUUUUCUAAUAACAAAUCUGUUAAUCAUAUUGCUUCCAACCAGUUCAUUCACAAGCAGACUAAGCACAUAUAGAGAUCAAUUGGCACACAGUGAAAAAAAAUGGCAAAAACUGGGGAUUUUGAAGUUGUUUCAUGUCUCUAGCUCCAAUCAACAUGAUGAUAAGACAUUACAUCUGGGUUUCUUUCACUCCAUUGGAUGUCUAUAUCAAAUCUCUUUAAGCCUAUUCCACUUUAAUCGGUUUGAGGCAUAUUGAUACUAUGUAUCCGAUUGUUAAAUCUGUCUUUACCACUAGUUUAUUAUGGUUUAGUGUCUUUUUUUUGCUUAAACCACUUAUGUAUAAAUAAUGAUCGAUAGAACCCAUUUCUGAGUACCGAGAAAUAUUCAAUCACAAAUUCAUCUUCUAAACUAAUGAUUUUGAUUUUUUAUAAAAUCUUAGAUAAGAUUUUAAAUAUUAAUCGUUCCCACUGAGACUUAAGGUGAACCCACAAGCCUAGCCUAUGUUUCCAGACAAAUAUUUCACGACUAAGUCUGCAGUUAUAAAAUAUAACUAGAUCUCGACCCGCACAACCGUGCGGGUGUUUAUUUUCAUUUUAAAAAAUUAUACAUAUAUAUAUAUAUGUGUAUAUAUUUAUUUAUAUCUAAUAUAUUAAAACAGAAGCCAUGACUUCUUUUCAUGUGUGUUUUUUUUAGUUUGGACCAUUUCUAAAAAAUAUCAUAUUUUACGUAAGUUCAUUAUUAUAUCUUUUAAUAUCUUUAUCUUUUCAUUUGAAAUACAAAUGAAUAUAUUUAAAAUGUUCUAACAAAAUCUUGUUAAAAUCUUCAUAGAAUCUUUUUAAAUAUUUCUAGCUUUGUUAAUCUUCAACGAAUUAUAUCCUAUGUUAAUCUUCAACGGGUUAAUAUUUCUACCUGUGAGAUCUAGCUAUGUUCAAAUGGUCGAGAUCACGGUAAAAUUGAUUGCUUUUCAUUUCUACAUUAGUAUAUAUUAAUAUAUAUGAGUGUCUAUCAUUUUCUAAAACAUAAUAAUUUUAUCGUAUAUUUUUUGUAUUGAAUUGGUUGUUUCCAGAUUAUUUUUUUUUUUAAAGAUUGAUAGUUAUUUAGUUCCUAUAAUGUAGUAGACAUAUUAUUUAGUUCCUAUAAUAUAGAAACUGAGUUAUUUAGAUCUAUAAUAAUGAUAAUAUUAGAAUUAAAUGUAACAUGAUUUUCUAGUAAUAGGUCAAUUAGGUCCAUUUUUAAAAAAAUCACACAUGAAUCAAGGUUGUGACUUCUAUUUUAAUAUAUAAGAUUUCUUAUUUUGAAUAAAUUUUCUCUGUGCACAUAGCCACAAACAUGUCAAGUGGAAUCAAGUAAAAUUGGUCCCUACAUAUCGUCGAACGCUUGACACUUGAAUGAGCAGACGGAGCCACACAAUUAAAAUGUAGUUUUCCCUCGUAGGACGAGCCACAAACUAGUCAUUCUCUUCAAAACGUCACUUGUUUUUUUUUGUUGAAAAUUCCAAAAACGUCCCUUGUUGAGCCAUUAUCUAUUCGUUACUACCAAAAAAUAUUAGUACAUAUUGUAUUUUAUUUCUGUAUUAUUUAAAUAUUCGAUUCUCAAUUAUUGUAUUUCAUUUGAUACAAAAUGACCAUUAAGUAUACAUCUGAAAGAGGAUAUAUUUUAUUUCAUUAAGCGCUUCCUUAAAAUGGCAUCGAUCGUUGUAUUAUAGAAUGUGAACGAGAAUCAGUUAUUAAUUUCCGGUAGUGAUACUGACCUACACUAAUGAGAAAGACUUUUUGUGUCUUCCGGAAAUGACUUCUUGUAUGAACUGAACUGAUCAGUGGUAUGUGUUUGUCUAUUACUUAAUCUCUCCCGGUCUUUAAAAAAAUGCGUAAUUGAUUCCACGCGUACCACUAAGAAAAUGCAUACAUAUGCAGUUGCGCCCAUACACAUUGUGUUAAGAAUUUAAUUGGUUAUAUGUAUGUUUUAAUUUAUAAGUUAUAUUAGUACCUUGCAUGGGACAGUCCACCUAAUGUCUUAUAAAUUUGUUACAAUGAAAAAAAAAUUACUUAUAUCUUUCUCGGUCUUUUAAAAUUGCGUAGUUGAUGCCACGCGUUCCACUUGGAAAAUGCAUACAUAUGCGGUUGCCAUACAAAUUGUUUGAAGAACUUAAUAGGUCAUAUGUAUGUUUUAAUUUAUAAGUUUUUUUUGCGCAACAUAGAAAUCUUAUAGAAGCUAAACGAGUUGGCCCAAGGGGGCAAUACAAAGGUGGGCUUUUGCUAAUGUGUCCGCUAGCCCAUUAGAGGCCCGAGGGCAAAAUGAAAAGCGACAGACUAAAAACAGAGAAGAGAUCGAAUCGAUGUCCGACAACACUCCGUAGAAUUCUGUCAGUCUUCGCUUCGUGGUGAUCGCCGUGACGAGCGCUUGAGCAUCUGAUUGGAGCCAGAUCGAGGUGAAGCCGAGUGAGAAGGCGUGAAGUAGAGAAUCUCUAAUGGCUAGAGCUUCUGCAAGAAGUGGUGAUGCAACGUGAUGGUGAGAUCUUCCUCCUCUCCCUACCUCUUGGUGUUUGUCUCUGAAGACCCAUCCUGAUCCUGCAACUACAGAGUCAGCUUUCCAGGCACCAUCCGUAUUGCAGAUGAUUGUCGUGUCAGAGAGAUCCAUCGACUGUGGCGGAGGAUGCGAUUUGGAGAGCGUGGGAGCCGUCGGGGAUUGCGCGAGUUCCCAUUCUUGCGCUGCCUUGAGACCUUUUGUUAUCAGAGCUGCAGGGGACGAUCGUCGAUUCUCAAAAGUGAGCUGGUUCCGGCUGAUCCACAGGAACCAGCAGAUCCAAGGGAGCAGGUUGAUUGUGAUCCCCGUUGGAGGGAGAUUGCGUUUGGUGGUGGAGAGGAUAAGAGCUUCGACGAAAGAUAACGGUUGUGUUGGGUCGAAACCUCCGUCCCAAAGAACUAGGUCCCAAACUUCCUGUGCGAAUUCACAAUUGAAAAACAAGUGCAAAGUGGUCUCUAUCUCACCGCCUCUGGCACAAUGUGUGUUAGCCAGUAGACCUCUCCUUUGGAGGUUUUCGCCCGUUGGUAGUGCAUUAUGAAUGAUCUUCCACAAAAAGAGCUUAAGUUUGGGCGAGAGACGAGGGGUCCAGACCAGUUUCCUCCAGUUUAAGGUAUCAUCGUGAUCAAACGGAGAUGGAGGGCUUUGCAGAGACUGGGUUGCUGCGAAGUAACCAGACUUGGUGGUGUACUCUCCCGUAUUAUUCAGAGGCCAGAUAAGAGCGUCUUCACCACCUAAAGUGCUUGGUUUUAUCUUGAGGAUGAGGUGAGACAAUUCCGGUAAAAUAUCCUUAAUACGGGCCACGUUCCAUUCCCUUGUUUCAGUAGAGAGGAGAUCAGCAACUAGGAGAUCCUGAUCAUGUUCUGUAGAAGGCCCGAAUGGUCGUAGAUUAUUUUAUAUGUAUGUUUUAAUUUAUAAGUUAUAUUAGUACCUUGCAUGGGACAGUCCACCUAAUGUCUUAUAAAUUUGUUACAAUGAAAAAAAAAUUACUUAUAUCUUUCUCGGUCUUUUAAAAUUGCGUAGUUGAUGCCACGCGUUCCACUUGGAAAAUGCAUACAUAUGCGGUUGCCAUACAAAUUGUUUGAAGAACUUAAUAGGUCAUAUGUAUGUUUUAAUUUAUAAGUUUUUUUUGCGCAACAUAGAAAUCUUAUAGAAGCUAAACGAGUUGGCCCAAGGGGGCAAUACAAAGGUGGGCUUUUGCUAAUGUGUCCGCUAGCCCAUUAGAGGCCCGAGGGCAAAAUGAAAAGCGACAGACUAAAAACAGAGAAGAGAUCGAAUCGAUGUCCGACAACACUCCGUAGAAUUCUGUCAGUCUUCGCUUCGUGGUGAUCGCCGUGACGAGCGCUUGAGCAUCUGAUUGGAGCCAGAUCGAGGUGAAGCCGAGUGAGAAGGCGUGAAGUAGAGAAUCUCUAAUGGCUAGAGCUUCUGCAAGAAGUGGUGAUGCAACGUGAUGAUGAGAUCUUCCUCCUCUCCCUACCUCUUGGUGUUUGUCUCUGAAGACCCAUCCUGAUCCUGCAACUACAGAGUCAGCUUUCCAGGCACCAUCCGUAUUGCAGAUGAUUGUCGUGUCAGAGAGAUCCAUCGACUGUGGCGGAGGAUGCGAUUUGGAGAGCGUGGGAGCCGUCGGGGAUUGCGCGAGUUCCCAUUCUUGCGCUGCCUUGAGACCUUUUGUUAUCAGAGCUGCAGGGGACGAUCGUCGAUUCUCAAAAGUGAGCUGGUUCCGGCUGAUCCACAGGAACCAGCAGAUCCAAGGGAGCAGGUUGAUUGUGAUCCCCGUUGGAGGGAGAUUGCGUUUGGUGGUGGAGAGGAUAAGAGCUUCGACGAAAGAUAACGGUUGUGUUGGGUCGAAACCUCCGUCCCAAAGAACUAGGUCCCAAACUUCCUGUGCGAAUUCACAAUUGAAAAACAAGUGCAAAGUGGUCUCUAUCUCACCGCCUCUGGCACAAUGUGUGUUAGCCAGUAGACCUCUCCUUUGGAGGUUUUCGCCCGUUGGUAGUGCAUUAUGAAUGAUCUUCCACAAAAAGAGCUUAAGUUUGGGCGAGAGACGAGGGGUCCAGACCAGUUUCCUCCAGUUUAAGGUAUCAUCGUGAUCAAACGGAGAUGGAGGGCUUUGCAGAGACUGGGUUGCUGCGAAGUAACCAGACUUGGUGGUGUACUCUCCCGUAUUAUUCAGAGGCCAGAUAAGAGCGUCUUCACCACCUAAAGUGCUUGGUUUUAUCUUGAGGAUGAGGUGAGACAAUUCCGGUAAAAUAUCCUUAAUACGGGCCACGUUCCAUUCCCUUGUUUCAGUAGAGAGGAGAUCAGCAACUAGGAGAUCCUGAUCAUGUUCUGUAGAAGGCCCGAAUGGUCGUAGAUUAUUCUUAGGGUCUAUCCAAGAAUCUGUCCAAACUCUGGUUGAGGUACCAUUACCAAUGGCCUUACCAAGAUGUGAAAUCAGUAGGUCCCUUCCCCAGACAAUUCCUUUCCAUCCAUGAGAGGAGCUCUUGCUAGCUUGAGUAGAUAGAAAGGAUUGAUGAUGGCAAUAUUUGCCAAGGAGAACUCUAGAUAAGAGGCAGUCAGGUUUUUUCAAAAUUCUCCACGCUAUCUUCCCUAGUAAGGCCUGGUUGAACAGUCUAACAUUCCAGAACCCUAGGCCUCCCUGACUUUUAGGUUUUGUGAGCUUGUCCCAAGCAAGCCAGCAUAUUUUCCUGUCUCCUUUGUUGUUGUCCCACCAGAAUCGGGUCAAAACUGAUUGGAUUUGGCUACAUAAACCUGCAGGUAGCUGGAAGCAUGACAUUGCAAAGGACGGGAUGGGAGAGAGGACAGACUGAAGCAUUGUCAUCUUGCCCGCUGUAGAUAGGAACCUUGUCGACCAACUCAUCGCUUUCUGCUUCAUCCGGUCUACAAUGGAGGCAAAGAGAUCCUUCUUCUUCCUCCCAAAAUGUUCAGGUAAACCUAAAUACUUUCCUACUCCCCCCUCUUUGUUUAUUCCUAGCUGCAAUUUGACUCUAGCGCGAACUAGUUAUAUCAGUACUUUGCAUGGGACAGUCCACCUGAUGUCUUAUAAAUUUGUUACAAUGGAAAAAAGUUACUUAAUCUUCUCGGUCUUUUAAAAUUGCUAUAGUUGAUGCCACGCGGUCCACUCAGAAAUAUGCAUACAUAUACAGUUGCGAGUUGCCAUACAAAUUGUUUAACGAAUUUGUAUGUUUUCAUUUAUAAGUUUUAUAUUAGUACCUUUCAUGGCACAGUCCACAUAAUAUCUUAUAAUUUUUUUGUUUAUAAUGGAAAAAUUACUUAAUAUUUUUCGAUAUUUUCACAAUGCGUAAUUGAUGCCAUGCAUUAUACUCAGGAAUAUUUAUUAUACACGAAAAAGAUGCUCUACACAAAUUAAGAUCCUAGAAAGUUCCAAACAAAUUAAAAAAAAUAAUAUAUAAAAUAAAGAUGCAUGCUAUGGAAAGACGGUUAUAUAUACGCUAUGCUGUACAUUGUACAAUGAAGACAUUUGAGAAUCAAACAGAAACGAGUAGUUUGAGAAAUAGCAAUGGCAAUCCUGAAUUUCACACCAGCCUCGAGGUUCCCGGUGACCAUAGAUUCAGCUCGGAGAACAAGAGUUAGAGGUUCUGUCAUCAAAAUGCAGAAGAGCCUCAUUACUACGGAUCCUCAUCCUCCUGCCUCACCUGGUUUCAGCUUAUGUACGUGCGGAAGAAAGCAUUUCCUAGGAGAAGCUACGACGCCGUUUCUUCCAAUCUCUCCUAUCUACGCUGCUCCAUCCACUGCUCCAUCCACAGCUCAAAACUCAACG
This 11387-nucleotide long non-coding RNA is filed under the name Brassica napus (rape). Its description in RNAcentral is "long non-coding RNA (BNAP_LNC006344)". Lineage: Eukaryota; Viridiplantae; Streptophyta; Magnoliopsida; Brassicales; Brassicaceae. The record is from RNAcentral.